This 219-nucleotide long non-coding RNA is filed under the name Setaria viridis. RNAcentral's name for it is "long non-coding RNA (SVIR_LNC009148)". The record is from RNAcentral. Lineage: Eukaryota; Viridiplantae; Streptophyta; Magnoliopsida; Poales; Poaceae.
AAGCCCGAAGCAUCGCCAUUUGCUAGUCUGGCAAAAGUAUAUGCAAUUGGAACCAAUCACGAUGAAGGAGCACCUUUGCCUACACCAUAUAUUAAGUGCACAAUUAAUGGUGAGAUCAUCUACGAGGCACUCUGUGACAUUGGAGCACAUGUAAGUGUUAUGUCUUCAAAAGUUUACGAUGAGCUUUAUAGUAAAACCUUGAAACUUGCUCCAAUCCCG